AACGAACGCUGGCGGCAUGCCUAACACAUGCAAGUCGAACGAGACCUUCGGGUAUAGUGGCGCACGGGUGCGUAACGCGUGGGAACCUGCCCUUAGGUUCGGAAUAACUCCCCGAAAGGGGUGCUAAUACCGGAUAAUGUCUUCGGACCAAAGAUUUAUCGCCUUUGGAUGGGCCCGCGUUGGAUUAGCUAGUUGGUAGGGUAAAAGCCUACCAAGGCGACGAUCCAUAGCUGGUCUGAGAGGAUGAUCAGCCACACUGGGACUGAGACACGGCCCAGACUCCUACGGGAGGCAGCAGUGGGGAAUAGUGGACAAUGGGCGAAAGCCUGAUCCAGCAAUGCCGCGUGAGUGAUGAAGGCCUUAGGGUUGUAAAGCUCUUUUACCCGGGAUGAUAAUGACAGUACCGGGAGAAUAAGCUCCGGCUAACUCCGUG
This 433-nucleotide ribosomal RNA is filed under the name uncultured bacterium. RNAcentral's name for it is "partial 16S ribosomal RNA". It matches the Rfam family "Bacterial small subunit ribosomal RNA", at positions 29 to 507 of the family's 1533-position model. The record is from RNAcentral.